Long non-coding RNA from Bactrocera dorsalis (oriental fruit fly), 355 nucleotides. RefSeq lists it as uncharacterized. The transcript has 2 exons. The record is from RefSeq and is a predicted model, not a curated record. Lineage: Eukaryota; Metazoa; Arthropoda; Insecta; Diptera; Tephritidae.
CGCUCGCUUAAAGACGAAUUCCGUGAAGGUCGUCCAAAAACAGCCGUUGUGCCAGAAAACAUCGGUGCCGUACGUGAACUGAUAAUGCAAGACCGUCAUGUAACAUACCUUCAGAUAGAGGCAUGCCUAUGCAUUUCUCCCACCAGCAUACAUUCGAUAUUGCAUGAACACCUGGCCGUAAAAAAGGUUUGUUCUCGUUGGAUCCCGCACAAUUUGACAAUCGCUCAAAAAAGGCUCGUGUGGAUUGGUGUAAAGAAAUGCUGAAAAAAUACGAUCGCGGUGCUUCAAAAGACGUUUAUAAGAUCGCCACAGGUGACGAAUCAUGGAUCUAUGCGUAUGAGCCCGAAACAAAACA